Brienomyrus brachyistius is the source of this 360-nucleotide long non-coding RNA. RefSeq lists it as uncharacterized. The record is from RefSeq and is a predicted model, not a curated record. The transcript is spliced from 3 exons. NCBI's taxonomy places the organism in Eukaryota, Metazoa, Chordata, Actinopteri, Osteoglossiformes, Mormyridae.
GUGUACAGAGGCUCCUCUCACGUCCGCCUGGGGUUCUAUAGGCACCUGCUUUAGGAUAUAACGUCAAAGUGAAAAACAACAAUAAAACAGCAAGAAAGGCACGUCCUUGCAAUGCAGGAUUCCUACAGUUGCGAUACCAUCCCCACUCCUUCCUGCUCGCUGACGCCGAGGCCUACAAUCCCCCGCUGACGGCCGUACUCUCCCCCACUACAGGCAGAGGAAGUUUACCGCUCUACCUUCCUGGAUUUUCUACGUGAUAUCCACCUGUUCUGUCAUAAUUAAAUAAUGGAUAACGCCACCGCCUCCUCCCCCCAUUACCAUGAACUGGAAGAUGAAUGGGUGGAUAAUAUUAUCCCAGCU